GACGAACGCUGGCGGCGUGCUUAACACAUGCAAGUCGAACGGAAAGGCCCUGCUUUUGUGGGGUGCUCGAGUGGCGAACGGGUGAGUAACACGUGAGUAACCUGCCCUUGACUUUGGGAUAACUUCAGGAAACUGGGGCUAAUACCGGAUAGGAGCUCCUGCUGCAUGGUGGGGGUUGGAAAGUUUCGGCGGUUGGGGAUGGACUCGCGGCUUAUCAGCUUGUUGGUGGGGUAGUGGCUUACCAAGGCUUUGACGGGUAGCCGGCCUGAGAGGGUGACCGGCCACAUUGGGACUGAGAUACGGCCCAGACACCUACGGGAGGCAGCAGUGGGGAAUAUUGCACAAUGGGCGGAAGCCUGAUGCAGCAACGCCGCGUGCGGGAUGACGGCCUUCGGGUUGUAAACCGCUUUCGCCUGUGACGAAGCGUGAGUGACGGUAAUGGGUAAAGGAGCACCGGCUAACUACGUG
This 468-nucleotide ribosomal RNA is filed under the name uncultured bacterium. RNAcentral's name for it is "partial 16S ribosomal RNA". It matches the Rfam family "Bacterial small subunit ribosomal RNA", at positions 28 to 507 of the family's 1533-position model. The record is from RNAcentral.